GUUUCAAGGCGCCAGGUGCUUGUGCAAGAAGUUUUUCUAACAAACGCAUAUAUGCACUUGAGUGAAGUACAUUUCCAUGACA
Molecule: non-coding RNA, 82 nt
Organism: Pangasianodon gigas (Mekong giant catfish)
Lineage: Eukaryota; Metazoa; Chordata; Actinopteri; Siluriformes; Pangasiidae
Source: the annotation of a GenBank genome assembly